RNAcentral lists this ribosomal RNA (497 nucleotides) under uncultured bacterium. RNAcentral's name for it is "partial 16S ribosomal RNA". It matches the Rfam family "Bacterial small subunit ribosomal RNA", at positions 28 to 507 of the family's 1533-position model. The record is from RNAcentral.
GAUGAACGCUGGCGGCGUGCCUAAUACAUGCAAGUCGAGCGAACAGACGAGGAGCUUGCUCCUCUGACGUUAGCGGCGGACGGGUGAGUAACACGUGGAUAACCUACCUAUAAGACUGGGACAACUUCGGGAAACCGGAGCUAAUACCGGAUAAUAUAUUGAACCGCAUGGUUCAAUAGUGAAAGACGGUUUUGCUGUCACUUAUAGAUGGAUCCGCGCCGCAUUAGCUAGUUGGUAAGGUAACGGCUUACCAAGGCAACGAUGCGUAGCCGACCUGAGAGGGUGAUCGGCCACACUGGAACUGAGACACGGUCCAGACUCCUACGGGAGGCAGCAGUAGGGAAUCUUCCGCAAUGGGCGAAAGCCUGACGGAGCAACGCCGCGUGAGUGAUGAAGGUCUUCGGAUCGUAAAACUCUGUUAUUAGGGAAGAACAAAUGUGUAAGUAACUAUGCACGUCUUGACGGUACCUAAUCAGAAAGCCACGGCUAACUACGUG